RNAcentral lists this unclassified non-coding RNA (525 nucleotides) under Hevea brasiliensis (rubber tree). Lineage: Eukaryota; Viridiplantae; Streptophyta; Magnoliopsida; Malpighiales; Euphorbiaceae. The record is from RNAcentral.
UUAAUUGGUCCCAUUUUGCUACCUGGAUAUCAAGGGAAGACCAAUUAGAAAGUCGUAUAGCUAGGCACUCAGAAGGCUGGACAAAAAAAAUUUUCCCGCAAGAAGCUGAGGACUAAAGCAGGUUUCUGGAGAGCUGCACAUCCAAUAGUAUGCAUUAAAGAGAGAACAGACGUGUGCUUUCUGCUGAAUAGAAAACUAUGGUAGCAGUGAUGUAAUUGUGAUGGGUCCAUCUUGUGUUAACUAAUAACAGGUUCCCUAAAAUGAGAUGCAUUUGAGGUAUUUUUCAGGUAAAUUUAAUUUGAGAUCACUUCAGCGCAUUCUUUAGAUUUCAAUUUGUAGCCACUAUAACCAGAUUCCAGCGCUCCUCAAUAGUCUGAACAAUCAUCUAGAUCAUCAGUUCUAAUUAAAAGUUAAAGUAGACGUCAUUCCCCAUUUUAAUAUUACUGACAGGGAAAUUCAAGAUGCUUAGGAGGAAAAGGCUUCAGAAUGGAGAGACAACAGACCUCAUCUUCACUGAAAUUGUAG